ACAUGGAUAACCUGCCCUUGGGUCCGGCAUAACCCCGGGAAACUGGGGAUAAUUCCGGAUAACGCACAUAUGCUGGAAUGCUUUCUGCGUAAAAUGGAUUCGUCUGCCCAAGGAUGGGUCUGCAGCCUAUCAGGUAGUAGUGGGUGUAAUGUACCUACUAUAGCCUACGACGGGUACGGGUUGUGAGAGCAAGAGCCCGGAGAUGGAUUCUGAGACAUGAAUCCAGGCCCUACGGGGCGCAGCAGGCGCGAAAACUUUACAAUGCGGGAAACCGUGAUAAGGGGACACCGAGUGCCAGCAUCCUAUGCUGGCUGUCCGGGUGUGUAAAAUACACCUGUUAGCAAGGGCCGGGCAAGACCGGUGCCAGCCGCCGCGGUAACACCGGCGGCCCGAGUGGUGAUCGUGAUUAUUGGGUCUAAAGGGUCCGUAGCCGGUUUGGUCAGUCCUCCGGGAAAUCUGACAGCUCAACUGUUAGGCUUUCGGAGGAUACUGCCAGACUUGGAACCGGGAGAGGUAAGAGGUACUACAGGGGUAGGAGUGAAAUCUUGUAAUCCCUGUGGGACCACCUGUGGCGAAGGCGUCUUACCAGAACGGGUUCGACGGUGAGGGACGAAAGCUGGGGGCACGAACCGGAUUAGAUACCCGGGUAGUCCCAGCCGUAAACGAUGCUCGCUAGGUGUCAGGCAUGGCGCGACCGUGUCUGGUGCCGCAGGGAAGCCGUGAAGCGAGCCACCUGGGAAGUACGGCCGCAAGGCUGAAACUUAAAGGAAUUGGCGGGGGAGCACAACAACGGGUGGAGC
RNAcentral lists this ribosomal RNA (800 nucleotides) under uncultured archaeon. Its description in RNAcentral is "bacterial SSU rRNA". It matches the Rfam family "Archaeal small subunit ribosomal RNA", at positions 98 to 894 of the family's 1478-position model. The record is from RNAcentral.